RNAcentral lists this ribosomal RNA (443 nucleotides) under uncultured bacterium. RNAcentral's name for it is "partial 16S ribosomal RNA". It matches the Rfam family "Bacterial small subunit ribosomal RNA", at positions 338 to 795 of the family's 1533-position model. The record is from RNAcentral.
CCUACGGGGGGCAGCAGUGGGGAAUAUUGGGCAAUGGGCGCAAGCCUGACCCAGCAACGCCGCGUGAAGGAAGAAGGCUCUCGGGUUGGAAACUUCUUUUCUGCGGGACGAAGAAAGUGACGGUACCUCAGGAAUAAGCCACGGCUAACUACGUGCCAGCAGCCGGGGGAAUCCGUAGGGGGCAAGCGGUAUCCGGGUUUUAUGGGUGAAAAGGGCGUGUUGGGGGGAAAGCAAGUCAGAUGUGAAAACUCAGGGCUCAACCCGGAGCCUGCAUUUGAAACUGUUUUUCUUGAGUGCUGGAGAGGCAAGCGGAAUUACGGGUGUAGCGGUGAAAUGCGUAGAUAUACGGAGGAACACCAGUGGCGAAGGCGGAUUGCUGGACAGUAACUGACGCUGAGGCGCGAAAGCGUGGGGAGCAAACAGGAUUAGAUACCCCAGUAGUC